This 559-nucleotide long non-coding RNA is filed under the name Mytilus galloprovincialis (Mediterranean mussel). The record is from RNAcentral. Lineage: Eukaryota; Metazoa; Mollusca; Bivalvia; Mytilida; Mytilidae.
GACCAGUCCAUCUAUAGACAAGGAGUUUUGGGAUAAACUCAUCAAUGAAGUGUCCAGUUAUUCUUCCCGUAUCAUACACUCUGUUUGUAUAUGCGUUUGGUGAUACUGAUUGGUGAUUAGAAUUCAAUAAUAAUUAUGACGGAAAUCAUCCUUAUCACAAACAUCAUCAAGUAGACUGUCCUUAUGCAAAUUAAAACAUAAGCUCCGCCCGAUCAGUUGAAGUAACAUUGGUAAUACGACAUAAGGAACAUAUCUGCUAUCAUCUGUGAAACAGAUAUUUCAUAACUUUCAAACCUCUCGUGAUUGCGUCCGUAAAAUUUACGAAGGAAUGUUUUCAACUUUACCAUUUGGAACUCUUGGUUUUAUAGCUUACUUAUGAGCAGCAACCCUCUAUCAAGGAAAGCAUGAUAGGAAAUACAUGCCCGGGAGUAUCGUAUCAAUUGGGAGAUAUAUACUCCGUAUGCAGGCGCUGCUGGAAUGCUGCUACAUAUAAAUGGAAGGUUCACAACUGAGAAGCUGAAAUCAUCUUUUUGUCGUAAAGUUUUGUUUUCAACCGACC